RNAcentral lists this ribosomal RNA (819 nucleotides) under uncultured Actinomycetes bacterium. RNAcentral describes it as "bacterial SSU rRNA". It matches the Rfam family "Bacterial small subunit ribosomal RNA", at positions 335 to 1167 of the family's 1533-position model. The record is from RNAcentral. Lineage: Bacteria; Bacillati; Actinomycetota; Actinomycetes.
ACUCCUACGGGAGGCAGCAGUGGGGAAUAUUGCACAAUGGGCGCAAGCCUGAUGCAGCAACGCCGCGUGAGGGACGACGGCCUUCGGGUUGUAAACCUCUUUUAGUAGGGAAGAAGCGAAAGUGACGGUACCUGCAGAAAAAGCACCGGCUAACUACGUGCCAGCAGCCGCGGUAAUACGUAGGGUGCAAGCGUUAUCCGGAAUUAUUGGGCGUAAAGAGCUCGUAGGCGGUUUGUCGCGUCUGCUGUGAAAACUGGAGGCUCAACCUCCAGCCUGCAGUGGGUACGGGCAGACUAGAGUGCGGUAGGGGAGAUUGGAAUUCCUGGUGUAGCGGUGGAAUGCGCAGAUAUCAGGAGGAACACCGAUGGCGAAGGCAGAUCUCUGGGCCGUAACUGACGCUGAGGAGCGAAAGCAUGGGGAGCGAACAGGAUUAGAUACCCUGGUAGUCCAUGCCGUAAACGUUGGGAACUAGAUGUAGGGACCAUUCCACGGUUUCUGUGUCGCAGCUAACGCAUUAAGUUCCCCGCCUGGGGAGUACGGCCGCAAGGCUAAAACUCAAAGGAAUUGACGGGGGCCCGCACAAGCGGCGGAGCAUGCGGAUUAAUUCGAUGCAACGCGAAGAACCUUACCAAGGCUUGACAUAUACCGGAAAAGGCUAGAAAUAGUCUCCCCGCAAGGUCGGUAUACAGGUGGUGCAUGGUUGUCGUCAGCUCGUGUCGUGAGAUGUUGGGUUAAGUCCCGCAACGAGCGCAACCCUCGUUCUAUGUUGCCAGCACGUAAUGGUGGGAACUCAUAGGGGACUGCCGGGGUCAACUCGGA